AUUCCAUGAUGAGGGCAUCUUUGUAAUAGUUCAUUAAAUAAUUCUAAUACCUCAUACAAGGAUUCAUCAUCCAUCUAUUGGAAAGUAGUGAUCUAAUUUCGUAGCUU
Molecule: small nucleolar RNA, 107 nt
Organism: Gossypium arboreum
Lineage: Eukaryota; Viridiplantae; Streptophyta; Magnoliopsida; Malvales; Malvaceae
Rfam family: Plant small nucleolar RNA R71
About the family: R71 is a member of the C/D box family of snoRNAs containing the C (UGAUGA) and D (CUGA) box motifs. Multiple nearly identical copies of this snoRNA have been identified in Arabidopsis, and it is thought to function as a 2'-O-ribose methylation guide for 18S ribosomal RNA.
Source: Rfam